AUCGCUUCUCGGCCUUUUGGCUAAGAUCAAGUGUAAAACUGUUCCUAAAGCUUGAAUAUAGUAACCUUAAUGCCCAAGUUAAGAUAGAUGUAUUUGUUUUUAUUUUAUGUGUAUGAGUAUUUGUCUACAUAUAUGUCUGUUCUCUUUGUUUGUGCCUGGUGCAGACAGAUGUCA
RNAcentral lists this small nuclear RNA (174 nucleotides) under Mus musculus (house mouse). RNAcentral describes it as "U2 spliceosomal RNA". It matches the Rfam family "U2 spliceosomal RNA". Rfam says of the family: U2 is a small nuclear RNA (snRNA) component of the spliceosome (involved in pre-mRNA splicing). Complementary binding between U2 snRNA (in an area lying towards the 5' end but 3' to hairpin I) and the branchpoint sequence (BPS) of the intron results the bulging out of an unpaired adenosine, on the BPS, which initiates a nucleophilic attack at the intronic 5' splice site, thus starting the first of two transesterification reactions that mediate splicing. The record is from Rfam by way of RNAcentral. Lineage: Eukaryota; Metazoa; Chordata; Mammalia; Rodentia; Muridae.